AUUGAACGCUGGCGGCAUGCCUUACACAUGCAAGUCGAACGGCAGCACGGGAGCUUGCUCCUGGUGGCGAGUGGCGAACGGGUGAGUAAUGCAUCGGAACGUGCCCUGAAGUGGGGGAUAACGUAGCGAAAGUUACGCUAAUACCGCAUAUUCUGUGAGCAGGAAAGCAGGGGAUCGCAAGACCUUGUGCUUUGGGAGCGGCCGAUGUCGGAUUAGCUAGUUGGUGAGGUAAAGGCUCACCAAGGCGACGAUCCGUAGCGGGUCUGAGAGGAUGAUCCGCCACACUGGAACUGAGACACGGUCCAGACUCCUACGGGAGGCAGCAGUGGGGAAUUUUGGACAAUGGGCGCAAGCCUGAUCCAGCCAUGCCGCGUGAGUGAAGAAGGCCUUCGGGUUGUAAAGCUCUUUCGGCGGGGAAGAAAUGGCACGGGUUAAUACCCUGUGUUGAUGACGGUACCCGCAUAAGAAGCACCGGCUAACUACGUG
RNAcentral lists this ribosomal RNA (486 nucleotides) under uncultured bacterium. Its description in RNAcentral is "bacterial SSU rRNA". It matches the Rfam family "Bacterial small subunit ribosomal RNA", at positions 30 to 507 of the family's 1533-position model. The record is from RNAcentral.